UAAGUAGCGACAGUGCCCAAUUUCAUUACUUUAGUAACCACGCCAUACUUCGUCCUUGGUCUACCAUGAAAGCAAGUGCUCCCGAGGAGGAUGCAGAGCAAAUGGGCAUCAGCAGGCACUAGAGGUGUCUAACGUGAAAAGACGGACAGCUGCAGUCCGAGGCAGUCCCUGGCCGAUUAACAAAAUGUUAGGAGUUACACUUUUCUUAUUUUUAGAGAAGGAGGUUCACUGUACAGCCCAGGCCGGCCUAGAACUGGAGACCUUCCUGCUUGGGGCUCGGAAGUACUGGGAUGGAGAGUGUAGGUACUGGGAGUGUGAACCAUUAUGCCCGGCGCGAAUCUGGAAACAGCACUGAUGUCCACCCGGGGAAACCGGGCUGUACGCGCUGGAAAAUCUGGGGACCCUGGAGAGUGAGCCGGAACAGGCCCACUGCGGUGGCGAGUGGAGCGCUGUUCCGGGGGCGCCGGGAGGGGGAGACGCACAGCAGCACUUCCGCUCAGGCCCACAGGCGGGGCAGCCUGCAGGCAUGGCUUCCGGCGAGGCCCCUUUCCGGCUUCCGCUUCGUGGCUCAGGCCCCACCUCCUAGAACUGCCUUCUAAAGACGCCGGGCGUUAGCGCAUGCGCUUUGUAUAGCGCGUUCCGGGUCUUGCUAGGGGUGCAGUCUGUUUCCCAGACACCAGGGGGAGCCUGUCAAAAUCUUGACCUGAGCUGGGUAACUGCUGGCAUCCCCCCAAGCCCUGGCAUGGAGCUGCUGGCCCGGAACCCACUCAUUGCUGGUAAGGCCAUUCUUCUGCACUGAAUCCUUAAGUACAGAAGUCUAUUGAUUUUUGAGGUCCUUUACCUGGUCUAAGGAAGUUCUUUGUGGGUAAGUACACCCAUAUCGUGCAGUGCCCGCGGAGGCCAGAAGAGGCUGUU
This is a long non-coding RNA of Nannospalax galili (Upper Galilee mountains blind mole rat), 915 nucleotides long. RefSeq lists it as uncharacterized. Lineage: Eukaryota; Metazoa; Chordata; Mammalia; Rodentia; Spalacidae. The record is from RefSeq and is a predicted model, not a curated record. The transcript is spliced from 4 exons.